RNAcentral lists this ribosomal RNA (2420 nucleotides) under activated sludge metagenome. RNAcentral's name for it is "bacterial LSU rRNA". It matches the Rfam family "Bacterial large subunit ribosomal RNA", at positions 14 to 2320 of the family's 2925-position model. The record is from RNAcentral.
AGGGCAUACGGUGAAUGCCUUGGCGUCAGCGGCCGAGGAAGGGCGUGGCAAGCGACGAUAUGCGCCGAUCAGCUGCAAGCAAGCUUAGUCGGCGAUGCCCGAAUGGGGAAACCCGCCGCGGACAACCCGCGGCAUCCGCAGGUGAAUACAUAGCCUGCGGAGGGUAAGCGGGCGAAUUGAACCAUCUUAGUAGCCCGAGGAAAGGAAAGCAAACGCGACUCCCUGAGUAGUGGCGAGCGAAAGGGGAUCAGCCCAAACCUGAUGCGCGUGAUAGGUCGCAGCCGUUUCGCAUCAGGGGUUGUGGGGCGGUCUGUGGUGGGUCUGCGAACCCACCGGGGAGUCAGAAACCCUGGCUCUAGCCGAAUUGUCUUGGAAAAUUCAGCCACAGCGGGUAACAGCCCCGUAGGCGAAAGGGCUAGGGCUCCCUAUGAUCGACCCCAAGUACCACGGGACACGUGAUAUCCUGUGGGAAUCCGGGGGGACCACCCUCUAAGGCUAAGUACCGCUGACGACCGAUAGUGAACCAGUACCGUGAGGGAAAGGUGAAAAGCACCCCAGGCGGGGAGUGAAAUAGAACCUGAAACCGUGUGCCUACAAACAGUGGGAGCGCUAUGCCCGAAACGGCUGGGCUUCGGCCUGGCGACCUCGGGAAUGCGUGACCGCGUGCCUUUUGCAUAAUGAACCGGCGAGUUACGGUAUGCAGCGAGGUUAAGGGGUUCAGCCCCGGAGCCGUAGGGAAACCGAGUCUGAAAUGGGCGCGCGGACUUCUGUCCGCAUAGUUGCAUGCCGUAGACCCGAAACCAAGCGAUCUACCCAUGGCCAGGCUGAAGCGCGGCUGACCCCGCGUGGAGGGCCGAACCAGCUGGUGUUGAAAAACCAUCGGAUGAGCUGUGGGUAGCGGUGAAACGCCAAUCGAGCUUGGCGAUAGCUGGUUCUCCCCGAAAUAGCUUUAGGGCUAGCCUCCAGACUUAAGUGGCGGAGGUAGAGCACUGACUGGGCUAGGGGGCCUACAAGCCUACCAAACUCAUUCAAACUCCGAAUGCCGUCACUUGGACCUGGGGAGUCGGACUGCGGGAGAUAAGUUUCGUAGUCGAGAGGGAAACAGCCCAGACCGCCAGCUAAGGUCCCUAAAUCAGGCUAAGUGGGAAACGAUGUGGAGCUGCGCAAACAACCAGGAGGUUGGCUUAGAAGCAGCCAUCCUUUAAACAACGAGUAAUAUCGGACUGGUCGAGUGGCUCUGCGCGGAAAAUGUAACGGGGCUCAAGCCUGGUACCGAAGCUGCGGAUCGCGCUCUGCGCGAUGGUAGGGGAGCGUUCCGUCAGGAGUGAAGGGAGACCGUGAGGACUCCUGGACCGGACGGAAGUGCGAAUGCCGGUGUGAGUAGCGAAAAGGGAAGUGAGAAUCUUCCCCGCCGAAAGCCUAAGGUUUCUUAGGGAAGGCUCGUCCUCCUAAGUUUAGCCGGUCCUAAGCCGAGGUCGAAAGACGUAGGCGAUGGGUAGUCGGGUUGAUAGUCCCGCGCCUCUGGCGAACGCUAUUACCGAUGGGGUGACACGGCCCAUAAGCCCAACGUGCUGAGUGGUGCCACGUGGGGUGUCGUAGGGUGUCGGGGGUUAAAAGACCCGGCUUGGCCCGAGAGCACCUAGAACCAGGACCUAACGGAAAUGGCUACUGGGUAGAGGGGUCGUCCAGAAAAACCUCUAGGGAGAACGCCAGAGACCGUACCGCAUACCGCCACAGGUAGGCAAGGAGAGAAUCCUCAGGCGCGCGAGAGAACCCUCGCUAAGGAAUUCGGCAAAUUCACCCCGUAACUUCGGGAGAAGGGGUGCCUCGUACGUGUGAUGCGGCUUGCCCGUUGAGCACGCGGAGGUUGCAGCGAACAGGCCUAGGCGACUGUUUACCACAAACACAGGUCUCUGCGAAGGGGUAACCCGACGUAUAGGGGCUGACGCCUGCCCAAUGCCAUACGGUUAAGGGGAACUGUCACCCUCUUCGGAGGUGCAGCGGUGAACCGAAGCCCUGGUGAAUGGCGGCGGUAACUAUAACCGUCCUAAGGUAGCGAAAUUCCUUGUCGGCUAAAAACCGACCUGCACGAAAGGCGUAACGACUUGGGCGCUGUCUCGGCGAGGGACUCGGCGAAAUCGAAGUACCUGUGAAGAUGCAGGUUUCCCGCGGCAGGACGGAGAGACCCCGUGGAGCUUUACUGCAGCCUGGUAUUGAGUUCGUGCAAGCCCUGUGCAGGAUAGGUGGGAGACGUUGAAGGCGGGCCGCCAGACCCGCUGGAGUCGACGGUGAGAUACCACUCUUGGCUCGUCAUGAAUUCUAACCCGUGCCGCAUCAUUCCGGUACGGAGACCGUAUCAGGUGGGUAGUUUGACUGGGGCGGUCGCCUCCCAAAGAGUAACGGAGGCGCCCAAAGGUUCC